GAGGGCAUAGCUCAGUGGUAGAGCACAUGCCUAGCAUGCCCAAGGUUCUGGGUUCAAUCCUCAGUACCUCCA
RNAcentral lists this transfer RNA (72 nucleotides) under Camelus bactrianus (Bactrian camel). It matches the Rfam family "tRNA". From Rfam's summary of the family: Transfer RNA (tRNA) molecules are approximately 80 nucleotides in length. Their secondary structure includes four short double-helical elements and three loops (D, anti-codon, and T loops). Further hydrogen bonds mediate the characteristic L-shaped molecular structure. tRNAs have two regions of fundamental functional importance: the anti-codon, which is responsible for specific mRNA codon recognition, and the 3' end, to which the tRNAs corresponding amino acid is attached (by aminoacyl-tRNA synthetases). tRNAs cope with the degeneracy of the genetic code in two manners: having more than one tRNA (with a specific anti-codon) for a particular amino acid; and 'wobble' base-pairing, i.e. permitting non-standard base-pairing at the 3rd anti-codon position. RNAcentral also lists the same sequence under 2 other names. The record is from Rfam by way of RNAcentral. Lineage: Eukaryota; Metazoa; Chordata; Mammalia; Artiodactyla; Camelidae.